Molecule: ribosomal RNA, 484 nt
Filed under: uncultured bacterium
Lineage: Bacteria
Description: bacterial SSU rRNA
Rfam family: Bacterial small subunit ribosomal RNA
Source: RNAcentral
AUUGAACGCUGGCGGCAUGCUUUACACAUGCAAGUCGAACGGUAACAGGCCGCAAGGUGCUGACGAGUGGCGAACGGGUGAGUAAUGCAUCGGAACGUGCCCAGUCGUGGGGGAUAACGCAGCGAAAGUUGUGCUAAUACCGCAUACGAUCUAUGGAUGAAAGCGGGGGACCGUAAGGCCUCGCGCGAUUGGAGCGGCCGAUGUCAGAUUAGGUAGUUGGUGGGGUAAAGGCCCACCAAGCCAACGAUCUGUAGCUGGUCUGAGAGGACGACCAGCCACACUGGGACUGAGACACGGCCCAGACUCCUACGGGAGGCAGCAGUGGGGAAUUUUGGACAAUGGGCGCAAGCCUGAUCCAGCAAUGCCGCGUGCAGGAAGAAGGCCUUCGGGUUGUAAACUGCUUUGUACGGAACGAAACGGUCUGGGUUAAUACCCUGGGCGUAAAUGACGGGUACCGUAAGAAUAAGCACCGGCUAACUACGUG